CUUCCCUGCUGCCGGGCCCGGGGCACGGCGUGUGGUCCAGCACGGUGUGGGACCCCCCGAGCGCAGCCCGGGCUUUGCACAGCCCGCUCCCGUGCUGGGGCUGCGGCUGAGCCAUUCUAAACUCCCUCCCUGCCCUUCCUGAGCCACUUUGCAAAGUAGGUGAGGGUGUUUUUAUUUAAUCUGAAAGCACAAUGUCUGCUGCAUUUGUUAGUUCAUGGAUUUGUUUUUAAAGGUGUUGGUAUUUCCUCACCUGUUCCAUCGCAGCCUCUUCUAAAGAUGCUUCAGUAUAUUUGUAUCUCACAGUGGCAUCCACCACAUAUGCCUGGUUUCCUUUCACAAAUAUUAGGUCCUGCUCAUAUAACUAAUUGUGCCUAUCUCUUAUAUGUGGUUCCUGGAACACAAUCCAGGCUUUCUUUUUAGCUUCAUUUGUUAACAUUUUGCAGAUGUAGUUGUGCCUUUUAAUUCUCACAGUGGGGUGUGUUUUCUUAGGACCAGGGUCUUGCUGUCUGUCCUGCAGGGACAGGAGGAUGGUCACACCAGCCUCACCACUGAAUGCACCCUGGAACAGCUCCAUCUGUGCCUCUGAAACCAGAGUCAAACAUUUUCUCUUUGUCACAAGUCUCAGAGUGCCUGUGGGAUGAGUGACCUGUCAGAAGCAGCUGCCAAAACACAGCUCCUGGGGGCUGAUCCCCAGUUCUAUGUGCAGCACAGGCAGGAGACCACCAGCUUGUGGUUCUCCUUUAUGCUCCAGAUGAGUUUGCAUUCCAAGAGGCCAAUGGAGGUGGGGUCUGUCCAAAUGUUCAGCUCCUGCACUUGCCCAAAAGGUCUCCACUAAAAAAAAAUUGCAAAGAGCAUUCAGUGAGCAGAAGCAGUGCCUGGGCACUUUUACUUCCCCUGCCUGCUUCUCACUUGAUUUCAGCCUCAUGCUGGAGGGGUCUAAAAGGAGCAUUUCUGCUUUGCCAUCAUGCUCAAAUAAGAAAUAUACCUCUGCCUCCAAGGGGAAGACAUUGAUGGUUAUCUUCUGCUGGGACAGUUCUUUCUAUAAAAAGGGAAAAGGCUGCUGAGGGGUCUUGCUUUUAGCAGACAUGUAGGAAUGCACUGUGUGCUAGCAGCAGGAGGUGGCACUGGGAAACCACAGCCUAACAAACCUGUGAGGAAAAAAGAUCCCAGUCAGGGGCACGGGGCACAGUAUGUGUGCUCAUCUUUGCAUUACUUUGAUGCCCCUUUACUUGGUGCCUCCAUAUCAGAAGACUGAUGAUGUACAGGCCACUUCAAGAGACUUUUACACAAAAUAAUUUCAAAAGUGCCUGGCAAAAUAAGAGUACACCAGGCACACGGGUUCUUUGCCUUCCUUUCUUGGGUUGCCUUUCCUGCGGGGAAGGCUUUUAUCACCUUUAGAAAAGAUGAUUUUAAAAUACUUUAGCUUAUCUCUUUCAAAAAAGUCAUGAGACUGCCUUAGAUUUCGUGGGUUAGCUCAAACUCUGAGGGAAGAAAAUAGGGUCAGUUUCCAAGGAGAAUGCCAGUCAUAACAAAUGACCCAUCUCUCAGAUGUGGAACUGAAUUUGGAAUGAAAGGGUUAAAGGGGCAAACAGAAAUCCCAGCCUACAUAUCAGCCUGGCUAAGGAUCCUAUUCAGUUUUUAAAUUAUUUUGAUUGAAUGUUUCUGGGUUGUCAAAAUACCUCUAGACCUCCAGAGCUCCCAUGGAGAAAAUAACUUAAUUUCAAAUGUCAUUAAAAAGAUAAAAAAAGAGCAACAUUAAAAAUAGAAGUACACCAGCAGUUGCAACAACAUUUUUAGGCAGACUUUAUCCAGCUGUGAGGAUGCAAUGUAAUUACAGGAAAUGCAGUUCCCACUGUGAUUUCUCUGCAGGUUCCCCUCCGACAUAAACAUAGUGGCAGGCCAAAUCAUAAAAUCUGAGCAGUAUUACAGAUUAGAGAAAGGCUGAUACGUACUGGGUUGCGUGGCAACGUUUUGGUAGGGGGGGGCUACAGGGGUGGCUUGCAUGAGAAGCUGCCAGAAGCUUCCCCAAUGUCUGACAGAGCCAAUACCAGGUGGCUCCAAGGAACUACCACUGGCCAAGGCGAAGAUAAUGGUGAUGCCAUAAUGGUAAUGCCACAGGAAGAGAAGCUGAGUGGCCAGGAUACAACCCAAAGACUUAACUUCUACUGGAAAGAGAUUUCUCUUGAAGACAUUUCAGUGACAAGAGUGAAGAAGAAAGAAUGGUUUGAACAGUUGGAGUAAAAAAAAAAAAAAAAAAAAAAAAAAAAAAAAAUCUAAGCACACAAGAGUCUAGUCCAGAUAGGAAAAACCCCAAUUUUUCUCCCCUGGCCAAAAUUAAUGUGUGUGUCUGAUGAAUGCUGGGAGGCUCUGCUGAUGGGCUCCAGCAAGCUUAGAUGUAUGGAUGCUUCAGUUCUACUGAUCUCACCUUCCUCAGUCUUGAUAUACUUGAUUCCCUUGGAAUCAGACUGAAUUAGUUUAUUCUGAUCACUUAGAAUACCAACAGUGCUUAAUGUGGACCAGAAAUAAUAUCUGACAUGCUGCCCUUCUGCCAGGCUCUUGAUGAGCAAUUUGAGGUGUUAAUAGCUUGGAGACCAUCUUCAUUUGCAGCUCUGCCAUGCACAAUGACAUGGUGGCUGCUGAGGGACCCAGAGAAAAUACAUUCCUGCUUAAUUAACAUGCAGAGCAGAACAGGGAGCUGUCAUAGCAUCCUCAGCAGGAAAGAGGCAGCAACAGGGCCAUGCCAAGCCCUUUGGAGCAGAGGCUGCUCUCAUGCCAGAUGCUUGGGACCCUCAGCUGCCACCAACUCUGCAGGCUCAGGUGACUCAGCAUGAGGAGCAGCAAGUGCCUGCAGGCUCAGGUCCAGCAAAGCCAAUUGAGGGGUGAUUAGAAGCUGAACACUGAUUCAGCAUUCCCAAAAGCCUGAAUUGGUUCUAAAAAAAUGGGAGUAAAGAGAAACAGGCAAGUGGCCAACAAGUGGCCCCAGAGGAAAUUAAUUCCUCACAGACUUCACUGGAAUGUGCUUAUUUCUCUGUUAUUGAAAAAUAAUGUGCAUUGUUCUAGCAUCAACAUUAGAUUUCCUCUUUAGGUUGUAAUUAAACCCUAAUCUAAUUUGGCAGAAGAUAACAGGGACCUCCAAGAAGAGCUAACAGCCCUGCUGUUCUUCUCCACCUCCCUCCACCUGCUUUUGGCAACUUUUCUCUGCAUUCCAGGGUCUGCUCAUGAAGGUUCUGUGUGUCAAGAAGGGGCACACAAAAAACUUGCUGGGAUUUGAUAAGACCCAUCUGGAAAUGGUCUGCAGCCGAAUAGAACUAAAGCCAAAAGCCUGACCUUCACUAUCAGUGGAGAGGAGCAUCUGCCUGGGGUGAGGGUCCUGUGCCCGGGUCUUCGUGAUGCAGAGAGGAGCCUGUGCUGCGCUUCGAGAGGCACCUGCUGGGUGAUUCAGAGAAACUCCCUCUGGUCCUUUGUAACAAUGGCAUUGUACCUGUCCAUGUGAGGACCUGCUCAGGGAAUGUCCUGGUCUGGGAACCAGUGCUUGUCCCAUGAAGGAAAGGUCCCCCAAAAUAUGGCCAACUUGGGAACAGGUCUCAGAAAUUCUUUUUAAACAAAUGACUGAUUUCUGUUCUCCAGGAAGGGAGUUCUUCUUGGAAAUGUGAUUUUCUGACCAGUCCUCUUCAGCUAAACACAACACAGGAAAGGUGGUGGGGGACUUUCUGCCCUGUCUCUCAACUUGCAUUUUGUUCUCAUGGGCAUGUGUGGUGUCCCAGUUUCAUUAGACUGUAUUUGAUCCCUGUUUACUACAUUUUAAUUAAACUUGGUUGUGGUUUAAUUUCA
Molecule: non-coding RNA, 3831 nt
Organism: Taeniopygia guttata (zebra finch)
Lineage: Eukaryota; Metazoa; Chordata; Aves; Passeriformes; Estrildidae
Source: RefSeq, a predicted model, not a curated record